CAGCCGCCGCGGGAAUACGGAGGGUGCAAGCGUUAAUCGGAAUUACUGGGCGUAAAGCGCACGCAGGCGGUCUGACAAGUCAGAUGUGAAAUCCCCGGGCUUAACCUGGGAACUGCAUUUGAAACUGUCAGGCUGGAGUCUUGUAGAGGGGGGUAGAAUUCCAGGUGUAGCGGUGAAAUGCGUAGAGAUCUGGAGGAAUACCGGUGGCAAAGGCGGCCCCCUGGACAAAGACUGACGCUCAGGUGCGAAAGCGUGGGGAGCAAACAGGAUUAGAUACCCGCGUAGUCCCUGUCUCUUAUAC
This 301-nucleotide ribosomal RNA is filed under the name uncultured bacterium. RNAcentral's name for it is "partial 16S ribosomal RNA". It matches the Rfam family "Bacterial small subunit ribosomal RNA", at positions 509 to 807 of the family's 1533-position model. The record is from RNAcentral.